This 573-nucleotide long non-coding RNA is filed under the name Numida meleagris (helmeted guineafowl). RNAcentral's name for it is "lncRNA (ENSNMEG00000020597.1)". Lineage: Eukaryota; Metazoa; Chordata; Aves; Galliformes; Numididae. The record is from RNAcentral.
CUCUACAGCCCACAGGCACGAGCCCGCUGCAGGCCCCUGGCCUCCCCAGCCCCCCUCCUGUUCUUUAGCAGGUACCUUCACUGCAGGAGCAGGUGAUCCCUGUGCCCUGCACCCUGCCUGGCAGCUGGGAGCCACCGAUGGAGCCCUUUCAGGAUGCCAUGGUGCUCACAGAGGACCAGAAGCACCCAGUGCCCAACAACACGUGCCCCCGCCCUGCCACAGCUCCGCUCACCUGCAGCGUUGUGAUACUGGAAGCAGGUGAAGUGACACUGAGCACAGACAUUCCAGAUGACAAUGUGGAAAUUGACAGUUUGCUCACCUGGAUCAACAACAAAGUGGCAAGUACUCUGGAGGUCCCCCAGGAGAACAAGGACCUGCCUGUUGUCAAAAGGGAGGAGGCCAAAGACGCUGACAAUGUGGAAGAGGCUCAACCCACAGAGUAACAGGAAAUAUCCAGAAGAGGCCAUUUGACCUGGCUUUUGCUGGAGUGACUGCAGCACUGCUUUGGCUUCCUUGCUCUUUGGACUGAUUAUCAGUGCCUAUGGAGAAGUUCUGAGUCGUGGAUCUUCAGUG